Oncorhynchus tshawytscha (Chinook salmon) is the source of this 437-nucleotide long non-coding RNA. The record is from Ensembl. NCBI's taxonomy places the organism in Eukaryota, Metazoa, Chordata, Actinopteri, Salmoniformes, Salmonidae.
GCAGAUACCAAAAGAUGUGGCAUGGGGUGGAACGAGAUAGACAAGAACUAAGAGUGCCCCCCCCUACCCCCAACAAACGAAGCAUGGGGACAUGGAGUCUGUGCUUCUCUGUACGGGUUUGUGUGGAAACGUGAAGGGAACUCCCAUCGGCUGGUGACCUGCUCAAAGGGUUCCAGGACUCUGCACACCUCCUCCACCACCUCCCAUUCCUCUUGGGUCAGAGCAUCAUCAGGUGCAUGGACAAUGGCCAGGGGAGAGAUGAUGGCAUCCUUUGACUCAAGAAACCGCUUCAACAUAUAACACGUUGAAUUCUACCUUGUAGUGCAGUCUUGUUUAGGCCUCAGCUCAGGCAUCCCCAUCUGGCAUUGUGUAGACUUUCAUUUUUCAGAACCUACUGUGCUCCUGUGGAAGUAUUCCACAGCUGCUUUCACUUUGUC